This 292-nucleotide ribosomal RNA is filed under the name uncultured bacterium. RNAcentral describes it as "partial 16S ribosomal RNA". It matches the Rfam family "Bacterial small subunit ribosomal RNA", at positions 505 to 796 of the family's 1533-position model. The record is from RNAcentral.
GUGCCAGCCGCCGCGGUAAGACAGAGGGUGCAAACGUUGUUCGGAAUUACUGGGCGUAAAGCGUGUGUAGGCGGUCCUAUAAGUCGGGUGUGAAAGCCCCGGGCUCAACCCGGGAAGUGCACUCGAAACUGCAGGGCUGGAGUACUGGAGAGGUUGGUGGAAUUCUCGGUGUAGAGGUGAAAUUCGUAGAUAUCGAGAGGAACACCGGCGGCGAAGGCGGCCAACUGGACAGAUACUGACGCUGAGACACGAAAGCGUGGGGAGCAAACAGGAUUAGAAACCCCCGUAGUCC